RNAcentral lists this ribosomal RNA (2218 nucleotides) under human gut metagenome. RNAcentral describes it as "bacterial LSU rRNA". It matches the Rfam family "Bacterial large subunit ribosomal RNA", at positions 492 to 2716 of the family's 2925-position model. The record is from RNAcentral.
GAACCAGUACUGUGAAGGAAAGGCGAAAAGAACCCCGGGAGGGGAGUGAAAUAGAACCUGAAACUGCAUACAUACAAACAGUAGGAGCCCGCAAGGGUGACUGCGUACCUUUUGCAUAAUGGGUCAGCGACUUACGUUUUGCGGCGAGCUUAACCGAGUAGGGGAGGCGCAGCGAAAGCGAGUUCGAACAGAGCGACAGAGUCGUAAGGCGUAGACCCGAAACCAGAUGAGCUAUCCAUGGUCAGGUUGAAGGUGUGGUAACACACACUGGAGGACCGAACCGACCGGUGUUGCAAAACCGGCGGAUGAACUGUGGAUAGGGGUGAAAGGCUUAACAAAUCUGGAGAUAGCUGGUUCUCCCCGAAAACUAUUGAGGUAGUGCCUCGUGAAUGACUGCCGGGGGUAGAGCACUGUUAUGGCUAGGGGGACAUGGCGUCUUACCAAACCAUGGCAAACUCCGAAUACUGGCAAGUUGAAUCACGGGAGACAGAGCACCGGGUGCUAACGUCCGGACUCAAAAGGGAAACAACCCAGACCGCCGUUUAAGGUCCCUAAUAACAGCUAAGUGGAAAACGAAGUGUGAAGGCUAAGACAGUCAGGAAGUUGGCUUAGAAGCAGCCAUCCUUCAAAGAAAGCGUAAUAGCUCACUGAUCGAGUCCUCAUGCGCGGAAGAUGUAACGGGGCUAAGCUGUUAACCGAAAGCGCGGAUUUCCAAGCAAUUGGAAGUGGUAGGGGAGCGUUCUGUAAGCCGACGAAGGUGAUUCGUAAGGAUUGCUGGAGGUAUCAGAAGUGCGAAUGCUGACAUGAGUAACGAUAAAGCGGGUGAAAAGCCCGCUCGCCGUAAGCCCAAGGUUUCCUGCUCUACGUUCAUCGGAGCAGGGUGAGUCGGCCCCUAAGGCCAGGCUGAGAAGCGUAGUCGAUGGGAAGCUGAUUAAUAUUUCAGCACCACUGUUGAGUGCGAAGGGGGGACGGAGUUUUGCAAGUAAUCCGGGUGUUGGAUGUCCCGGUUGGCGAGCGUAGGAGGUGAGCAGGCAAAUCCGCUCACGCAUCUCCGAGACGAAGCCUCGAGGUCCUUUAGGACUGAAGUUACCGAAUGAACUUCCAGGAAAAGCCUCUAAGCUCCAGCUCAACGGUGACCGUACCGUAAACCGACACAGGUGGGCGAGUUGAAUAUACUCAGGCGCUUGAGAGAACUCGGGAGAAGGAACUCGGCAAAUUGACACCGUAACUUCGGGAUAAGGUGUGCCUUGGUAGCGUGAAAGGAGAAACUCCCCAAGCGCGAAGAGGUCACAGAAAAUAGGGGGCUGCGACUGUUUACUAAAAACACAGCACUCUGCAAAGACGAAAGUCGACGUAUAGGGUGUGAUGCCUGCCCGGUGCCGGAAGAUUAAGUGAUGGGGUGAGAGCUCCUGAUCGAAGUCCCGGUAAACGGCGGCCGUAACUAUAACGGUCCUAAGGUAGCGAAAUUCCUUGUCGGGUAAGUUCCGACCUGCACGAAUGGCAUAACGAUGGCCCCACUGUCUCCUCCCGAGACUCAGUGAAGUUGAAAUGUUUGUGAUGAUGCAAUCUCCCCGCGGCUAGACGGAAAGACCCCAUGAACCUUUACUGCAGCUUUGCAUUGGACUUUGAACCGAUCUGUGUAGGAUAGGCGGGAGGCAAUGAAACUUUGACGCCAGUCAGAGUGGAGCCGACGUUGAAAUACCGCCCUGAUUUGUUUGAGGUUCUAACCGCAGACAGUGAGCCUGUCUCGGGACCGUGCAUGGUAGGCAGUUUGACUGGGGCGGUCUCCUCCUAAAGGGUAACGGAGGAGUACAAAGGUACGCUAGGUACGGUCGGAAAUCGUGCUGAUAGUGCAAUGGCGCAAGCGUGCUUGACUGCGAGACCGACAAGUCGAGCAGAUGCGAAAGCAGGUCAUAGUGAUCCGGUGGCACUGAAUGGAAGGGCCAUCGCUCAACGGAUAAAAGGUACUCUGGGGAUAACAGGCUGAUACCGCCCAAGAGUUCAUAUCGACGGCGGUGUUUGGCACCUCGAUGUCGGCUCAUCUCAUCCUGGGGCUGUAGCCGGUCCCAAGGGUAUGGCUGUUCGCCAUUUAAAGAGGUACGUGAGCUGGGUUUAAAACGUCGUGAGACAGUUUGGUCCCUAUCUGCCGUGGGCGUUGGAAGAUUGACGGGGGCUGCUCCUAGUACGAGAGGACCGGAGUGGACGCACCUCUGGUGUA